CAGUCGCCGCGGUAAUACGUAGGUGGCAAGCGUUGUCCGGAAUUAUUGGGCGUAAAGGGCUCGCAGGCGGUUUCUUAAGUCUGAUGUGAAAGCCCCCGGCUCAACCGGGGAGGGUCAUUAGAAACUGGGAAACUUGAGUGCAGAAGAGGAGAGUGGAAUUCCACGUGUAGCGGUGAAAUGCGUAGAGAUGUGGAGGAACACCAGUGGCGAAGGCGACUCUCUGGUCUGUAACUGACGCUGAGGAGCGAAAGCGUGGGGAGCGAACAGGAUUAGAUACCCGCGUAGUCCCUGUCUCUUAUAC
This 301-nucleotide ribosomal RNA is filed under the name uncultured bacterium. RNAcentral describes it as "partial 16S ribosomal RNA". It matches the Rfam family "Bacterial small subunit ribosomal RNA", at positions 509 to 807 of the family's 1533-position model. The record is from RNAcentral.